This 391-nucleotide unclassified non-coding RNA is filed under the name soil metagenome. Its description in RNAcentral is "partial contains 5.8S ribosomal RNA, internal transcribed spacer 2, and large subunit ribosomal RNA". The stretch from base 1 to 122 matches the Rfam family "5.8S ribosomal RNA", at positions 35 to 154 of the family's 154-position model. The record is from RNAcentral.
GAUGAAGAACGUAGCGAAAUGCGAUACUUGGUGUGAAUUGCAGAAUCCCGUGAACCAUCGAGUCUUUGAACGCAAGUUGCGCCCGAAGCCAUUAGGCCGAGGGCACGCCUGCCUGGGCGUCACACGUCGUUGCCCCCCCAUCUACUCCUUCGGGAUUGCGGGGGGCGGAUGAUGGCCUCCCGUGCGCCUCGUCGCGCGGUUGGCAUAAAUACCAAGUCCUCGGCGACGCACGCCACGACAAUCGGUGGUGGCGAAACCUCGGUUGCCCGUCGUGUGCGGUCGUCGCGCAUCGAGGGCUCGAAAAAAUUGCCGGGCUCCGGCUCGGCUUUCAACGCGACCCCGGGUCAGGCGGGGUUACCCGCUGAAUUUAAGCAUAUCAAUAAGCGGAGGA